RNAcentral lists this ribosomal RNA (643 nucleotides) under uncultured bacterium. RNAcentral's name for it is "bacterial SSU rRNA". It matches the Rfam family "Bacterial small subunit ribosomal RNA", at positions 232 to 885 of the family's 1533-position model. The record is from RNAcentral.
CGCGGCCUAUCAGCUUGUUGGUGAGGUAAUGGCUCACCAAGGCUUCGACGGGUAGCCGGCCUGAGAGGGCGACCGGCCACACUGGGACUGAGAUACGGCCCAGACUCCUACGGGAGGCAGCAGUGGGGAAUAUUGCACAAUGGGCGCAAGCCUGAUGCAGCAACGCCGCGUGCGGGAUGACGGCCUUCGGGUUGUAAACCGCUUUCAGUAGGGACGAAGCUAACGUGACGGUACCUACAGAAGAAGGACCGGCUAACUACGUGCCAGCAGCCGCGGUGAUACGUAGGGUCCGAGCGUUGUCCGGAAUUAUUGGGCGUAAAGGGCUUGUAGGCGGUCCGUCGCGUCAGGAGCGAAAACUCGGGGCUUAACCCCGAGCCUGCUUUUGACACGGGCGGACUAGAGGGAUGCAGGGGAGAACGGAAUUCCUGGUGGAGCGGUGGAAUGCGCAGAUAUCAGGAGGAACACCGGUGGCGAAGGCGGUUCUCUGGGCAUCACCUGACGCUGAGAAGCGAAAGCGUGGGGAGCAAACAGGCUUAGAUACCCUGGUAGUCCACGCCGUAAACGGUGGGCACUAGGUGUGGGGGACAUUCCACGUUCUCCGUGCCGAAGCUAACGCAUUAAGUGCCCCGCCUGGGGAGUACGG